UACGUAGGGGGCUAGCGUUGUCCGGAAUCAUUGGGCGUAAAGCGCGUGUAGGCGGCCCGGUAAGUCCGCUGUGAAAGUCCAGGGCUCAACCCUGGGAUGCCGGUGGAUACUGUCGGGCUCGAGUCCGGAAGAGGCGAGUGGAAUUCCCGGUGUAGAGGUGAAAUUCGUAGAUAUCGGGAGGAACACCAGUGGCGAAGGCGGCGAUCUGGGAAGAUACUGACGCUGAGGUGCGAAAGCGUGGGGAGCAAACAGG
Molecule: ribosomal RNA, 253 nt
Filed under: uncultured bacterium
Lineage: Bacteria
Description: partial 16S ribosomal RNA
Rfam family: Bacterial small subunit ribosomal RNA
Source: RNAcentral